AAAUUCUGUCUGACACAUUUGCUGUAUCAAAGUAUGCCUUGAUAUCAAAGAUGUGAAAGAACCAUGCCUUGCUUUUGAAUACUGAAUCCCACCCAGAAGUACUUCUGUACUCAGAAGACUCUGAUCCUGCAUCCUCCCUUCAGUCUCUGGGCUCUUCAUCUGUAUUUCCUACUUAGGAGUCCUUGUCUGGCCUGUGCAGCCCAUAGAGUCAGCUCACAACCCUCUUUCUCCUCUGUUUUCACCAAAUAAGUUGAAUUUAAGGCAGGUUCUGUUCUAUUUAGGUGCAACCCGCUCAGAAUGAAUGAUAAUUUAUACUUGUUACUGAUAUAAAUCUGUACCCAGUGCCAGAAGCUGUGAGUGGUCCUGCGCACUUGUGAUUUCCACAUUGUCUGUCUACAGAAAGCACAGUUACAUUUCAGGAGCAGUGACUCAUCCCACUCCAGUCAAAGGAGUUUCCUGUAGGAAAGAAAAGGCUCCAAGCAGAGCUGUGGAGUUACAAUCAAUGAAGAUGCUGGUUCAUCAUCAAACCUGAGCAAGAACUUCAUGCACACUGACAGAUUGCCUUGUUCAACAAGUUAUUCUGUGAAGUUGAUCCUGAACCCUCAUAUGGAUGCAACUCAUUGUUCUCCACCUAUGGAAUCAUCACCAUUUGUUUCAGAGGAGAAGAAAGAGGAAACAGAGGGAGACCACAGAAUCACAGAAUUGUAGGGGCUGGAAGGGACUUCUAGAGAUGAUAGAGCCCAGCACCUCUGGCAAAGCAGGCCCCCUACCGCAGGCUGCACAGGUAGGCAUCCAGGUGGGCCUUGAAUAACUUCAGAGAAGGAGAAUCUACAACUCCCCUGGCAGCCUCUUCCAGUGCUCCAUCACCCUUAC
This 873-nucleotide long non-coding RNA is filed under the name Coturnix japonica (Japanese quail). Its description in RNAcentral is "lncRNA (ENSCJPG00005007876.1)". The record is from RNAcentral. Lineage: Eukaryota; Metazoa; Chordata; Aves; Galliformes; Phasianidae.